Small nucleolar RNA from Zingiber officinale, 164 nucleotides. RefSeq annotates it as small nucleolar RNA snoR143. The record is from RefSeq and is a predicted model, not a curated record. The transcript has a single exon. Lineage: Eukaryota; Viridiplantae; Streptophyta; Magnoliopsida; Zingiberales; Zingiberaceae.
UUGCACCUCUUUUUAGAAGAAGUUCCUUUUGACUUUGUUUUUUGAACUGUAACUCAUGGUGCACAAAGAAAAUACUGUCUCAGCAAUGGCCAGACAACCAUAGAGAUGGAUCCACAGAUAAUUAGUUUACAAUAUGACUCAUCUACUAAUUCUAUCUGACAUUC